CCGGCGGCGGGCUGCGGGCCUCCUCCGCGGGGUGCCGGCGGGGCACAAGCAGCCUUGGUGGCUCUCUGCCGCUGCGGUGGGCGCCCCUUGGCCGGCUUGUCUAGCACUACCUUGAGCCAAAUUCCUAGACUGGCUGGUGCUUUCUCAUGGGAUCCCUGUGACUGACAAAGGAGAGAUUGUUGUGACUGCUCUGCAAUGACUACAGCAAGAUAUAGGCCUACCUGGGACUUGGUACUAGACCCAUUAGUGUCCUGCAAGCUCUGCCUCGGUGAAUAUCCUGUGGAGCAGAUGACAACGAUAGCACAAUGCCAAUGCAUCUUCUGU
Calidris pugnax (ruff) is the source of this 324-nucleotide long non-coding RNA. RefSeq lists it as uncharacterized. The record is from RefSeq and is a predicted model, not a curated record. The transcript is spliced from 3 exons. Lineage: Eukaryota; Metazoa; Chordata; Aves; Charadriiformes; Scolopacidae.